GAUGAAGAACGUAGCGAAAUGCGAUAAGUAAUGUGAAUUGCAGAAUUUAGUGAAUCAUCGAAUCUUUGAACGCACAUUGCGCCCUUUGGUAUUCCGAAGGGCAUGCCUGUUCGAGCGUCAUUAUAACCACUCAAGCCUUUGCUUGGUAUUGGGGUUCGCGGUCUCGCGGCCCCUAAAAUCAGUGGCGGUGCCUGUCGGCUCUACGCGUAGUAAUACUCCUCGCGAUUGAGACCGGUGGGUAGCUUGCCAACAACCCUAAUUUUCUCAGGUUGAUCUCGGAUCAGGUAGGGAUACCCGCUGAACUUAAGCAUAUCAAUAAGCGGAGGA
RNAcentral lists this unclassified non-coding RNA (327 nucleotides) under soil metagenome. RNAcentral's name for it is "partial contains 5.8S ribosomal RNA, internal transcribed spacer 2, and large subunit ribosomal RNA". The stretch from base 1 to 120 matches the Rfam family "5.8S ribosomal RNA", at positions 35 to 154 of the family's 154-position model. The record is from RNAcentral.